This 1329-nucleotide ribosomal RNA is filed under the name Triticum aestivum (bread wheat). RNAcentral describes it as "partial small subunit ribosomal RNA". The record is from RNAcentral. Lineage: Eukaryota; Viridiplantae; Streptophyta; Magnoliopsida; Poales; Poaceae.
AUGGAUAAAAUGGACUUUUCUUCUGUUAAACUGAAACGAAAUAGAAAUCACUACGGAACGCGAUCCCCUUUGUCAGUUCCCACCGGAAAUUUCUCCGCUCGCCGCUCGCUUCUCGUGGCCGCCGCCGCCGCCGUCUGCGCCAUGCUCCGCCUCCUGAAGAGCAUCCUCACCCAACAGCUCUCCUCCCCCUCCGCCUCCACCAUACCCCCUUUCUUCUCCCUCCGCCUCCUCUCAACCGCGGUGCCCCAAGUUCUUGCAAACCCCGGCGCCGGCGGCUUCGCUGUCCAAGACUACCUCGUCGCCACCUGCGGCCUGACCCGAGCGCGAGCGCUCAAGGCGUCCACGAGACUCUCCCACCUCAACUCCCCCACCAAACCCGACGCCGUCCUCGCCUUCCUCACCGGCCUCGGCUUCUCCAGGGCCGACGUCCCCGCCGCCGUGGCGAGGAACCCCAGUUUACUCUGCACCAAAGUGGAGGGGACCCUCUCCCCCAUCGUCGCCGGGCUCACCGGCCUCGGCCUGUCGCACUCCGAGAUCGCGCGCCUCGCCUCGCUCACCGACUACUGCCUCCGCACCAAAUCCGUGGUGGCCAAGCUGCGCUACUACCACCACCUCUUCGGCUCCUCCGACAAGCUCCUCCGGGUGCUCAAGGUCAGCCCAUGCCUUCUCUCCUCGAGCGUCGGGACGGUGGUCGAGCCCAACGUCGCGUUCCUGCGGGAGUGCGGGGUACCUGUUCGACAUAUUGCCUCGCUGUGCGUCAAUGUGCCGAGGCUUCUGACCACCAACCCCGAGCGCGUCCGGGCGAUGGCAGCGUGCGCCGAAGCUGUAGGCGUGCCCCGCGGCUCCGGGAUGUUUAGGGAAGCGCUGCAGGCCGUCGCGUUCCUCAGCGAGGAGGAGAUCGCCGCCAAACUGGACUACUUGAAGAGCACGUUCAGGUGGUCCGAUGCCGAGGUGCGCAUUGCUCUGUCUAGGUAUCCAUCAUUGGUGAGGAGAUCAAAGGGCAUGCUCCUGCGUAAGUCCGAGUUCCUUAUCUCUGAGGUGGGGUUGGAACCGGCCUACAUAGCUCGUCUGCUGGUAAUGCUCUGUCUUAGCCUGGAAGGCCGGCUCAGGCCCAGGUACGACGUUAUAAUGUUUCUAAUGGCAAAUGGAUUGCUCAAGCGCGUCCCCAAGUACUAUCCAGUCUUCAAGGCAACCGAGAAGGCAUUCUUUGAGGCGUAUAUAUGCCCUCAUAAGGAAGCUGCGCCGCACCUCGCUGAGUACUAUGCCACAGCUUGCCGAGGGGAAGUGCCCACUGGAUUCACAUUGACAGGAACCAAGAAUGGGCUAUGA